Polypterus senegalus (gray bichir) is the source of this 695-nucleotide long non-coding RNA. RefSeq lists it as uncharacterized. The transcript is spliced from 3 exons. NCBI's taxonomy places the organism in Eukaryota, Metazoa, Chordata, Cladistia, Polypteriformes, Polypteridae. The record is from RefSeq and is a predicted model, not a curated record.
UGUACGAGAAUGCACGUUCAAUCACAGCUAUCAAAUGUGGAAUAUUCUGCAGCAAGAUUUAUGGUCCAACUAGACAACGAAGCCAUAAAUAAGUCUGAUUGUCCAGUUUAUUAAUGGGGACUUCCAACUAAAAAGUGGCUGUUGGCAAACAGCAUUUUUCCCAAAGGAUCAUAUAAGUCAGAACAUUGAAACAGGUUUGACAAAAGCAUUGGUUGCUUGGGGAAUAGUAGAAAGAUGUCUAAUCUGUAAAACAACAGACAACGUGACGAACAUGGUGAAAGUUGCAUCCCUUAACAAAUGGACCAGGCUUCAGUGCUUUGGGCACAGACUGCAUCUUACAGUUGGUCAUUGUAUACAGAAAAAGGAGAAAAUCUAUAAGGUCACACUUCCAAGAGGUUAUAAGUGUGCUUAAGAUGAAUACCUGCCUUGCAAAUCAAACCUGAUUGAGUGAUUCAGAGGAAGAGAGUGAUGCCCAAGGAUUAAAAGAAAAAUGACAGGCAAAGCAACACGCCAUGGAGCUAAAAGGAAGCCCCAAGUACAAAUGUAAAAAAGAUUAAAAUAUCUGUUCAUGUGAAGACAGGAUUGUCUGCAAUGGAGGACAGUGAUGUUGGUCAUAAAUGUGAGAACAGGGGAGGACACACCAAGGUUGUGUAUAACAGAGAUGAGGGUUAUGAGGCCAUAAGAGAAAUGGAUGA